GAUGAACGCUGGCGGCGUGCCUAAUACAUGCAAGUCGAGCGAACAGACGAGGAGCUUGCUCCUCUGACGUUAGCGGCGGACGGGUGAGUAACACGUGGAUAACCUACCUAUAAGACUGGGAUAACUUCGGGAAACCGGAGCUAAUACCGGAUAAUAUAUUGAACCGCAUGGUUCAAUAGUGAAAGACGGUUUUGCUGUCACUUAUAGAUGGAUCCGCGCCGCAUUAGCUAGUUGGUAAGGUAACGGCUUACCAAGGCAACGAUGCGUAGCCGACCUGAGAGGGUGAUCGGCCACACUGGAACUGAGACACGGUCCAGACUCCUACGGGAGGCAGCAGUAGGGAAUCUUCCGCAAUGGGCGAAAGCCUGACGGAGCGACGCCGCGUGAAUGAUGAAGGUCUUCGGAUCGUAAAACUCUGUUAUUAGGGAAGAACAAAUGUGUAAGUAACUAUGCACGUCUUGACGGUACCUAAUCAGAAAGCCACGGCUAACUACGUG
This 497-nucleotide ribosomal RNA is filed under the name uncultured bacterium. RNAcentral's name for it is "partial 16S ribosomal RNA". It matches the Rfam family "Bacterial small subunit ribosomal RNA", at positions 28 to 507 of the family's 1533-position model. The record is from RNAcentral.